CAUGCAAGUCGAACGAGAGAGAAGGAGCUUGCUUCUUCGAUCGAGUGGCGAACGGGUGAGUAACGCGUGAGGAACCUGCCUCAAAGAGGGGGACAACAGUUGGAAACGACUGCUAAUACCGCAUAAGCCCACGGGUCGGCAUCGACCUGAGGGAAAAGGAGCAAUCCGCUUUGAGAUGGCCUCGCGUCCGAUUAGCUAGUUGGUGAGGUAACGGCCCACCAAGGCGACGAUCGGUAGCCGGACUGAGAGGUCGAACGGCCACAUUGGGACUGAGACACGGCCCAGACUCCUACGGGAGGCAGCAGUGGGGAAUAUUGCACAAUGGGGGAAACCCUGAUGCAGCGACGCCGCGUGGAGGAAGAAGGUCUUCGGAUUGUAAACUCCUGUUGUUGAGGAAGAUAAUGACGGUACUCAACAAGGAAGUGACGGCUAACUACGUGCCAGCAGCCGCGGUAAAACGUAGGUCACAAGCGUUGUCCGGAAUUACUGGGUGUAAAGGGAGCGCAGGCGGGAAGACAAGUUGGAAGUGAAAUCUAUGGGCUUAACCCAUAAACUGCUUUCAAAACUGUUUUUCUUGAGUAGUGCAGAGGUAGGCGGAAUUCCCGGUGUAGCGGUGGAAUGCGUAGAUAUCGGGAGGAACACCAGUGGCGAAGGCGGCCUACUGGGCACCAACUGACGCUGAGGCUCGAAAGUGUGGGUAGCAAACAGGAUUAGAUACCCUGGUAGUCCACACCGUAAACGAUGAUUACUAGGUGUUGGAGGAUUGACCCCUUCAGUGCCGCAGUUAACACAAUAAGUAAUCCACCUGGGGAGUACGACCGCAAGGUUGAAACUCAAAGGAAUUGACGGGGGCCCGCACAAGCAGUGGAGUAUGUGGUUUAAUUCGACGCAACGCGAAGAA
This 901-nucleotide ribosomal RNA is filed under the name uncultured bacterium. RNAcentral's name for it is "bacterial SSU rRNA". It matches the Rfam family "Bacterial small subunit ribosomal RNA", at positions 54 to 968 of the family's 1533-position model. The record is from RNAcentral.